This 800-nucleotide ribosomal RNA is filed under the name uncultured Alphaproteobacteria bacterium. Its description in RNAcentral is "bacterial SSU rRNA". It matches the Rfam family "Bacterial small subunit ribosomal RNA", at positions 28 to 877 of the family's 1533-position model. Lineage: Bacteria; Pseudomonadati; Pseudomonadota; Alphaproteobacteria. The record is from RNAcentral.
AACGAACGCUGGCGGCAGGCCUAACACAUGCAAGUCGAGCGCACCUUCGGGUGAGCGGCGGACGGGUUAGUAACGCGUGGGAACGUACCCAGAUCUAAGGAAUAGCCACUGGAAACGGUGAGUAAUACCUUAUACGCCCUUCGGGGGAAAGAUUUAUCGGAUUUGGAUCGGCCCGCGUUAGAUUAGGUAGUUGGUGGGGUAAUGGCCUACCAAGCCUACGAUCUAUAGCUGGUUUUAGAGGAUGAUCAGCAACACUGGGACUGAGACACGGCCCAGACUCCUACGGGAGGCAGCAGUGGGGAAUCUUAGACAAUGGGGGAAACCCUGAUCUAGCCAUGCCGCGUGAGUGAUGAAGGUCUUAGGAUCGUAAAGCUCUUUCGCCAGGGAUGAUAAUGACAGUACCUGGUAAAGAAACCCCGGCUAACUCCGUGCCAGCAGCCGCGGUAAUACGGAGGGGGUUAGCGUUGUUCGGAAUUACUGGGCGUAAAGCGCGCGUAGGCGGAUCGGAAAGUUGGGGGCGAAAUCCCGGGGCUCAACCCCGGAACUGCCUCCAAAACUAUCGGUCUAGAGUUCGAGAGAGGUGAGUGGAACUCCGAGUGUAGAGGUGAAAUUCGUAGAUAUUCGGAAGAACACCAGUGGCGAAGGCGGCUCACUGGCUCGAUACUGACGCUGAGGUGCGAAAGUGUGGGGAGCAAACAGGAUUAGAUACCCUGGUAGUCCACACCGUAAACGAUGAAUGCCAGUCGUCGGGCAGUAUACUGUUCGGUGACACACCUAACGGAUUAAGCAUUCCGCCUGGG